AGUGAACGCUGGCGGUAGGCCUAACACAUGCAAGUCGAACGGCAGCACAGUAAGAGCUUGCUCUUACGGGUGGCGAGUGGCGGACGGGUGGGGAAUACAUCGGAAUCUACUUUUUCGUGGGGGAUAACGUAGGGAAACUUACGCUAAUACCGCAUACGACUUACGGGUGAAAGCAGGGGAUCUUCGGACCUUGCGCGAUUGAAUGAGCCGAUGUCGGAUUAGCUAGUUGGCGGGGUAAAGGCCCACCAAGGCGACGAUCCGUAGCUGGUCUGAGAGGAUGAUCAGCCACACUGGAACUGGUACACGGUCCAGACUCCUACGGGAGGCAGCAGUGGGGAAUAUUGGACAAUGGGGGCAAGCCGGAUCCAGCCAUACCGCGUGGGUGAAGAAGGCCUUCGGGUUGUAAAGCCCUUUUGUUGGGAAAAAAAAGCAGCAGGUUAAUACCCCGCUGUUCUGACGGUACCCAAAGAAUAAGCACCGGCUAACUUCGCG
RNAcentral lists this ribosomal RNA (492 nucleotides) under uncultured bacterium. Its description in RNAcentral is "partial 16S ribosomal RNA". It matches the Rfam family "Bacterial small subunit ribosomal RNA", at positions 29 to 507 of the family's 1533-position model. The record is from RNAcentral.